RNAcentral lists this ribosomal RNA (910 nucleotides) under uncultured bacterium. Its description in RNAcentral is "bacterial SSU rRNA". It matches the Rfam family "Bacterial small subunit ribosomal RNA", at positions 8 to 916 of the family's 1533-position model. The record is from RNAcentral.
AGAGUUUGAUCCUGGCUCAGAUUGAACGCUGGCAGUAUGCUUAACACAUGCAAGUCGAACGCUGAAGGGUGCUUGCACCUGGAUGAGUGGCGGACGGGUGAGUAAUGCAUAGGAAUCUGCCGAUUAGUGGGGGACAACGUGGGGAAACUCACGCUAAUACCGCAUACGCCCUACGGGGGAAAGCGGGGGCUCUUCGGACCUCGCGCUAAUUGAUGAGCCUAUGUCGGAUUAGCUAGUUGGUGGGGUAAAGGCCUACCAAGGCGACGAUCCGUAGCUGGUCUGAGAGGAUGAUCAGCCACACUGGGACUGAGACACGGCCCCGACUCCUACGGGAGGCAGCAGUGGGGAAUAUUGGACAAUGGGCGAAAGCCUGAUCCAGCAAUACCGCGUGUGUGAAGAAGGCCUGAGGGUUGUAAAGCACUUUCAAUGGGAAGGAAUACCUUAAGGUUAAUACCCUUAAGACUGACAUUACCCAUACAAGAAGCACCGGCUAACUCCGUGCCAGCAGCCGCGGUAAUACGGAGGGUGCAAGCGUUAAUCGGAAUUACUGGGCGUAAAGCGUGCGUAGGCGGUUGCCUCAGUCAGAUGUGAAAGCCCUGGGCUUAACCUGGGAACUGCAUUUGAUACUGGGCGACUAGAGUUGAGUAGAGGAGAGUGGAAUUUCAGGUGUAGCGGUGAAAUGCGUAGAGAUCUGAAGGAACACCAGUGGCGAAGGCGGCUCUCUGGACUCAAACUGACGCUGAGGUACGAAAGCGUGGGUAGCAAACAGGAUUAGAUACCCUGGUAGUCCACGCCGUAAACGAUGUCAACUAACUGUUGGGUUCUUUAAGAACUUAGUAGUGGAGCUAACGUAUUAAGUUGACCGCCUGGGGAGUACGGCCGCAAGGCUAAAACUCAAAGGAAUUGACGG